This 429-nucleotide ribosomal RNA is filed under the name Pseudomonadota bacterium. Its description in RNAcentral is "Proteobacteria bacterium partial 16S ribosomal RNA". It matches the Rfam family "Bacterial small subunit ribosomal RNA", at positions 355 to 776 of the family's 1533-position model. The record is from RNAcentral. Lineage: Bacteria; Pseudomonadati; Pseudomonadota.
UGGGGUAUAUUGGACAAUGGGCGAAAGCCUGAUCCAGCCAUGCCGCGUGUGUGAAGAAGGUCUUCGGAUUGUAAAGCACCUUAAGUUGGGAGGAAGGGUAGUAAGCGAAUACCUUGCUGUUUUGACGUUACCGACAGAAUAAGCACCGGCUAACUCUGUGCCAGCAGCCGCGGUAAUACAGAGGGUGCAAGCGUUAAUCGGAAUUACUGGGCGUAAAGCGCGCGUAGGUGGUUCGUUAAGUUGAAUGUGAAAGCCCCGGGCUCAACCUGGGAACUGCAUCCAAAACUGGCGAGCUGGAGUAGGGCAGAGGGUGGUGGAAUUUCCUGUGUAGCGGUGAAAUGCGUAGAUAUAGGAAGGAACACCAGUGGCGAAGGCGACCACCUGGGCUCAUACUGACACUGAGGUGCGAAAGCGUGGGGAGCAAACAGG